Molecule: long non-coding RNA, 928 nt
Organism: Megalobrama amblycephala (Wuchang bream)
Lineage: Eukaryota; Metazoa; Chordata; Actinopteri; Cypriniformes; Xenocyprididae
Exons: 2
Source: RefSeq, a predicted model, not a curated record
UGUAACCCAGACUAAUUAGGGGUUAAAUAAAUAUAUUAAUAUAAAUGUAUGAGGUUUAGAAAAGUAAAUAAUUGAAGAUUGGCAAUAUUAAUGAAUACUUAAGAUAAAAUAAAUUAUGUGAUAAAAAUAAUUUGUAAUAUUUAAACAAAUUAUAGUUUCAUCCAAUCAGAGUUCUGUUGCUAUGGACCGCCCACUUGCUGACGCGGCAGAUUGCGCAAGACCUGAGAAGGGAGAAGACGGGAAAGAAAUUUGUUAAAUUUAGCUAUCAAGAAAUUAAAAAAUAACUGAGUUAAACUUUGAAAAUAGUGUUCAAAUCUCUUCAAGUCAGUUGAAAGAGGAGGAUAUUGAGUGGAUUCAGUUGUUAUUUUACUCCUGUGACGAUCGAUGGGUGAAUUACAUCGUUGUAUUACUGGGAAGUGAAUAUCUGGAUGUGGUCAGGUUUUUUUUUCCUGAGGGGAGAUUGAUUUUCUUUGAUGGCGAGCCAACCUAUUCGGACACUGGAAAAAAGAAGAAGAUUCAUCCUAUAGGACCAGGAGAGUAUCGUGAUUUCAUUUUUUUUCCUUGCUCAAGGUAAAACUAUUCCUGCAUAGAGACUGUGUUUUCUCCAUAUGGGACUGAAAACUGUCUGAGAUAAAUAGAAGAAGGAACUGAUAUCAGUUAUUGAACAUUUGGAAAUUGAACUGAUCGUCGACGUGUGCGUGAUAUCACAAAAUGGUUGUCAUUCUAUCGUUUUCUAUUGUAUUCAUACUAUUCUAGUGUGAAACCAACAGUGAUUUGCUCUAAGUGAUUUGUGCUUUUAUUUCUUUUUGUUGAAUUGAUGUAACUUACUUUGAAUUGUUUUUCAUUUAUUUUAUUGUUUGAUUUCAAAAAGGGGAAAGGCCGGCAUUUAAGGGAACACUUGUAAAAAAAAUCUAUAUACUUACCUUAA